AUGGUGGCAGGCUACGGCGGUGAUGACGAGGCCGUUGGCCAGGAGGGCAGCCAGGUAGGUGCCCAGGAAGAGCGAGAAGUGCAAGAGCUGCAGCUCCCGCAUGUCCGCCAACGGCAGGAGGAGGAACCCCUUGAAGGAGCUGCUGUUGGACACUUUGCUCUCUCCGGACACGGAGGACUGUCCAAGGAAGAAGACGCUGACAACUCAGGACAGACAGCAAAACUUUCCCAUGACUUCCCCGCAGCUGAAGAGACGGACGUGGUUCAAGACCCAGCUUCUGGGUCCUCUGGGAGGUCCACCUCCAUGGGCUCCUCCCCUUCCUCUGGGGGAGUCCACCUUCUCCCUCUCCUCUGGAGGAGUUCCUUUCCAUGGGCUCCUCUUCCUCUGGGAGGUCCACCUCCAUGGGCUCCUCCUCCUCGUCCUCCAUGGGGGUCCAUUUCCAUCGGCUCCUCCUCAGGGGGAGGUCCACUUCCAUGGCCGCCUCUUCCUCCUCUUCUGCAGGGGUGCACCUCCAUAGGCUCCUCCUCCUCCUCUUCUGCAGGGGUCCACCUCCAUGGGCGGCUCCUCCUCCUCCUCCAGGCCCACGGCAUCUGAGCAGGGCCAGGGAGGUGACUGCGGCCAGGUCCACCAACGGUGCCAGGCGAGAAGUCACAUCUGGGCUCUACGAAGUAGAGAGCAUCUUCCGGAUCGUUGGAUCUUCACUAGCUGGUGGACUGCUCCAAGCUGCUGCUGGCCGGUUGGCGUAGAGAGCUGCUGGCCAAAUAUUCUUGUGUAAGUUGAAUUUUGCUAUUUUUGUGAGCUACAUAGGCCUGGUAGGCGAUGGAAUGGCCUAAAAAAAAACAUGACUUGGGGGUCUUUGCCCGAGGUAUUACCGUGCGCUCAACAACCCUUGGAAUACGUCAAGCUCUCCGAAGAAGAGCGACGACGCGCCCCGUCCGCUGAUCGCUCUUGCCGAAACCGCCGGCAGUCACACCGAGAUGGAAAGCCGCCGCCUGGAUCCUGUCCAACAGGCGAUAAACGACGGAUUCAGACGAAGGUCGAGGGCGGCAGUUUCUGCCAGUCCGAGCUGUAAGACCGGUUGUUAAGGCGGCAUCGUACCCCCCCCACAAAAUCCAAAGAGGAUUUUUUUUCCCUCAGCCUCCUUUUUCAAAGCUAUCGGGCCAAGCAAUGCCGAUCGCGACCCUUCCCUUGACUUUUUUCUUUCCCCCCUCC
This 1212-nucleotide long non-coding RNA is filed under the name Struthio camelus australis. Its description in RNAcentral is "lncRNA (ENSSCUG00000004202.1)". Lineage: Eukaryota; Metazoa; Chordata; Aves; Struthioniformes; Struthionidae. The record is from RNAcentral.